CCCGAGUAGCACGGGGCCGAGGAAUCCCGUGUGAAUCUGCCAGGACCACCUGGUAAGCCUGAAUACUACCUGUUGACCGAUAGCGGAUCAGUACCGUGAGGGAAUGGUGAAAAGUACCCCGGGAGGGGAGUGAAAUAGUACCUGAAACCAUGUGCCUACAAACCGUUGGAGCCUCCUUGUGUGGUGACAGCGUGCCUUUUGAAGAAUGAGCCUGCGAGUUAGUG
This 224-nucleotide ribosomal RNA is filed under the name uncultured Nitzschia. RNAcentral describes it as "partial Bacterial large subunit ribosomal RNA". It matches the Rfam family "Bacterial large subunit ribosomal RNA", at positions 407 to 633 of the family's 2925-position model. Lineage: Eukaryota; Bacillariophyta; Bacillariophyceae; Bacillariales; Bacillariaceae. The record is from RNAcentral.